This 481-nucleotide ribosomal RNA is filed under the name uncultured bacterium. RNAcentral's name for it is "partial 16S ribosomal RNA". It matches the Rfam family "Bacterial small subunit ribosomal RNA", at positions 28 to 523 of the family's 1533-position model. The record is from RNAcentral.
GAUGAACGCUGGCGGCGUGCUUAACACAUGCAAGUCGAACGAAGCAUUUUCUAUGAUUGAUCGGUGACUGAGUGGCGGACGGGUGAGUAACGCGUGGGCAACCUGCCCUGUACAGGGGGAUAACAGUUGGAAACGGCUGCUAAUACCGCAUAAGCGCACGAGAGGACAUCCUCUUGUGUGAAAAACUCCGGUGGUACAGGAUGGGCCCGCGUCUGAUUAGCUGGUUGGCAGGGUAACGGCCUACCAAGGCGACGAUCAGUAGCCGGUCUGAGAGGAUGAACGGCCACAUUGGAACUGAGACACGGUCUAAACUCCUACGGGAGGCAGCAGUGGGGAAUAUUGCACAAUGGGGGAAACCCUGAUGCAGCAACGCCGCGUGAGUGAAGAAGUAUUUCGGUAUGUAAAGCUCUAUCAGCAGGGAAGAUAAUGACGGUACCUGACUAAGAAGCUCCGGCUAAAUACGUGCCAGCAGCCGCCGUAA